CCUACGGGUGUCAGCAGUGGGGAAUAUUGCGCAAUGGGCGAAAGCCUGACGCAGCGACGCCGCGUGAGGGAUGAAGGUCUUCUGAUCGUAAACCUCUGUCAGCAGGGAAGUACGGUCACUGUGCUAAUCAUCUUUGCAUUGACGGUACCUGCAAAGGAAGCACCGGCUAACUCCGUGCCAGCAGCCGCGGUAAUACGGAGGGUGCGAGCGCUAAUCGGAAUUACUGGGCGGAAAGGGCUCGUAGGCGGUAGGUCAAGUCAAGGGUGAAAUCCCCGGGCUCAACGUGGGAAUUGCCUUUGAAACUGGCAGACUGGAGUGUGUGAGAGGAGAGCGGAAGUCGAGGUGUAGGAGUGAAAUCCGGAGAUAUCGGGAGGAACAUCAGUGGCGAAGGCGACUAACUGGAACAUAACUGACGCUGAGGAGCGAAAGCGUGGGUAGCAAACAGGAUUAGAUACCCCAGUAGUC
Molecule: ribosomal RNA, 465 nt
Filed under: uncultured bacterium
Lineage: Bacteria
Description: partial 16S ribosomal RNA
Rfam family: Bacterial small subunit ribosomal RNA
Source: RNAcentral